RNAcentral lists this ribosomal RNA (301 nucleotides) under uncultured bacterium. Its description in RNAcentral is "partial 16S ribosomal RNA". It matches the Rfam family "Bacterial small subunit ribosomal RNA", at positions 509 to 807 of the family's 1533-position model. The record is from RNAcentral.
CAGUAGCCACGGGAAUACGAAGGGGGCUAGCGUUGCUCGGAAUCACUGGGCGUAAAGGGUGCGUAGGCGGGUCUUUAAGUCAGGGGUGAAAUCCUGGAGCUCAACUCCAGAACUGCCUUUGAUACUGAAGAUCUUGAGUUCGGGAGAGGUGAGUGGAACUGCGAGUGUAGAGGUGAAAUUCGUAGAUAUUCGCAAGAACACCAGUGGCGAAGGCGGCUCACUGGCCCGAUACUGACGCUGAGGCACGAAAGCGUGGGGAGCAAACAGGAUUAGAGACCCCCGUAGUCCCUGUCUCUUAUAC